GCCGCCAUAGGAUGGGUCUGCGGCCGAUUAGGUUGUUGUUGGGGUAACGGCCCAACAAGCCUGUAAUCGGUACGGGUUGUGGGAGCAAGAGCCCGGAGAUGGAUUCUGAGACACGAAUCCAGGCCCUACGGGGCGCAGCAGGCGCGAAAACUUUACAAUGCGGGAAACCGUGAUAAGGGAACUCCGAGUGCCCGUAAAAUCGGGCUGUCCAUCUGUUUAAAUAACAGGUGAAGAAAGGGCCGGGCAAGACCGGUGCCAGCCGCCGCGGUAAUACCGGCGGCUCGAGUGGUGGCCACUAUUACUGGGCUUAAAGCGUUCGUAGCUGGUCUGUUAAGUCUCUGGGGAAAUCUACUGGCUUAACCAAUAGGCGUUUCAGGGAUACUGGCAGACUAGGGACCGGGAGAGGUGAGAGGUACUCCAGGGGUAGGAGUGAAAUCCUGUAAUCCUUGGGGGACCACCUGUGGCGAAGGCGUCUCACCAGAACGGCUCCGACAGUGAGGGACGAAAGCUGGGGGAGCAAACCGGAUUAGAUACCCGGGUAGUCCCAGCCGUAAACGAUGCGCGUUAGGUGUAUCGAUGACCACGAGUCAUCGAGGUGCCGAAGAGAAAUCGUGAAACGUGCCGCCUGGGAAGUACGGUCGCAAGGCUGAAACUUAAAGGAAUUG
RNAcentral lists this ribosomal RNA (665 nucleotides) under uncultured archaeon. Its description in RNAcentral is "bacterial SSU rRNA". It matches the Rfam family "Archaeal small subunit ribosomal RNA", at positions 198 to 867 of the family's 1478-position model. The record is from RNAcentral.